ACUCAAAUGAAUUGACGGGGACCCGCACAAGCGGUGGAACAUGUGGUUUAAUUCGAUGCAACGCGCAGAACCUUACCAAGGCUUGACAUGCAAUGCAAAGCUAGGGAAACCUAAUGGAGGUUAUCAUUGCACAGGUGGUGCAUGGCCGUCGUCAGUUCGUGCCGUGAGGUGUAUGGUUAAGUCCUAUAACGAACGUAACCCUUGUGCUUAGUUGCCAUCAUUUAGUUGGGGACUCUAAGCAGACUGCCAGGGUAACCUGGAGGAAGGAAAGGACGAUGUCUGGUCAUCAUGCCCCUUAUGCCUUGGGCUACACACGUGUUACAAUGGUUAGGACAAAGAGUUGCGAGUCUGUGAAGAUAAGCCAAUCUCAAAAAACUAACCGCAGUUCGGAUUGAAGUCUGAAACUCGACUUCAUGAAGUUGGAAUCGCUAGUAAUUGUGGAUCAGCUAUGCCACGGUGAAUACGUUCUCGGGUCUUGUACACACCGCCCGU
This 492-nucleotide ribosomal RNA is filed under the name uncultured bacterium. RNAcentral describes it as "partial 16S ribosomal RNA". It matches the Rfam family "Bacterial small subunit ribosomal RNA", at positions 899 to 1397 of the family's 1533-position model. The record is from RNAcentral.